AUACUUACUUGAACGGGGUCAAUGAAUCAAUAAGGCCCAUGGCCUAGGCUGAUGACCUCCAUUGCACUAUGGGAGAGGUGCCCGCCUAAGAUCGAUCAAAGUGGUCGAGCCUACAUCAUAAUUUGUGAUAGCGGGGGCCUGCGUUCCCGUGGCCCCUAC
This is a non-coding RNA of Nicotiana sylvestris (wood tobacco), 159 nucleotides long. The record is from Rfam. Lineage: Eukaryota; Viridiplantae; Streptophyta; Magnoliopsida; Solanales; Solanaceae.